RNAcentral lists this ribosomal RNA (600 nucleotides) under Salmonella enterica. RNAcentral describes it as "partial 23S ribosomal RNA". It matches the Rfam family "Bacterial large subunit ribosomal RNA", at positions 711 to 1307 of the family's 2925-position model. Lineage: Bacteria; Pseudomonadati; Pseudomonadota; Gammaproteobacteria; Enterobacterales; Enterobacteriaceae. The record is from RNAcentral.
AGACCCGAAACCCGGUGAUCUAGCCAUGGGCAGGUUGAAGGUUGGGUAACACUAACUGGAGGACCGAACCGACUAAUGUUGAAAAAUUAGCGGAUGACCUGUGGCUGGGGGUGAAAGGCCAAUCAAACCGGGAGAUAGCUGGUUCUCCCCGAAAGCUAUUUAGGUAGCGCCUCGUGAAUUCAUCUCCGGGGGUAGAGCACUGUUUCGGCUAGGGGGCCAUCCCGGCUUACCAACCCGAUGCAAACUGCGAAUACCGGAGAAUGUUAUCACGGGAGACACACGGCGGGUGCUAACGUCCGUCGUGAAGAGGGAAACAACCCAGACCGCCAGCUAAGGUCCCAAAGUCAUGGUUAAGUGGGAAACGAUGUGGGAAGGCCCAGACAGCCAGGAUGUUGGCUUAGAAGCAGCCAUCAUUUAAAGAAAGCGUAAUAGCUCACUGGUCGAGUCGGCCUGCGCGGAAGAUGUAACGGGGCUAAACCAUGCACCGAAGCUGCGGCAGCGACACUCAGGUGUUGUUGGGUAGGGGAGCGUUCUGUAAGCCUGCGAAGGUGGCCUGUGAGGGUUGCUGGAGGUAUCAGAAGUGCGAAUGCUGACAUAAGU